AAUGAGAGAAUGACAAAUCAGAUUAUUCCUCUUGAUUUUCAGCUUUUUCCUUUGAAAAAAAUUCAAAUCCAACUAAAAAUGCUAAAAAUCAAGAGGAAAAUUUUGAUUAGUCAUUCUCUCAUU
Molecule: non-coding RNA, 123 nt
Organism: Gossypium raimondii (Peruvian cotton)
Lineage: Eukaryota; Viridiplantae; Streptophyta; Magnoliopsida; Malvales; Malvaceae
Source: Rfam